GGGAGCGCGGAGGCGGUGGCGCCUGAGGGAGCGCGGCCGCCAUUUUGUACCUCUUCGCUCGGUCCGGGGCGGUCGCGCGGGCGCUGCGGCUCUGAGGGAGCGCUCGGCUCUCCUGCUCUGUAGCUCGGGGUCGUCACCACAGCCAUGGGCCGUAAGAAGAAGAAGCAGCUGAAGCCUUGGUGCUGGUAUUGUAAUAGGGAUUUUGAUGAUGAAAAAAUCCUUAUACAGCAUCAAAAAGCAAAGCACUUUAAAUGCCAUAUAUGUCAUAAGAAACUGUAUACAGGACCUGGUUUAGCUAUACACUGCAUGCAGGUACACAAGGAAACAAUAGAUGCUGUUCCAAAUGCUAUUCCCGGAAGAACGGACAUUGAACUGGAAAUCUAUGGGAUGGAGGGCAUUCCAGAAAAAGAUAUGGAGGAACGGAGGAGGUUACUUGAACAAAAAACUCAGGAGAGCCAGAAAAAGAAACAACAGGAUGAUUCUGAUGAGUAUGAAGAUGAUGAAUCUGCGGCUUCAACUUCAUUUCAACCCCAGCAAGUUCAGCCACAGCAGGGGUACAUUCCCCCAAUGGCACAGCCGGGUUUGCCUCCUGUGCCAGGUGCUCCAGGGAUGCCUCCAGGUAUUCCACCAUUAAUGGCAGGUGUUCCACCUAUGAUGCCUGGAAUGCCUCCAGUUAUGCCUGGAAUGCCACCUGGGAUGAUGCCAAUGGGUGGAAUGAUGCCUCCUGGGCCAGGAAUACCACCUCUUAUGCCUGGUAUGCCACCAGGUAGGUCAGGGUUGUCGAACUCGUACUAUGGAAUGCCUCCCCCCGUGGGGCCGCGGCCUGGAAUGCCCCCAAUGACACAAGCACAGCCUGUCACAGCCCCGGGCAUCCUUAACCGGCCUCCAGCUCCUGCUGCAACAGCGCCCACCCCACAGCCUCCAGUCACUAAACCACUCUUCCCAAGUGCGGGGCAGAUGGGGACACCUGUCACAAGCUCAAGUGCAGCUUCCUCCAAUUCAGAAAGUCUGUCAGCGUCUUCUAACGCUCUGUUUCCUAGCACAGCACAAGCUGCAGCAGCUGUGCCAGGGCCAGUUGGUACUGAUUUCAAACCUUUGAAUUCUACACCUGCAACGACAACAGAGCCCCCAAAACCUACAUUCCCUGCUUACACACAGUCCACAGCCUCAACCACUAGCACCACCAACAGUACUGCAGCUAAACCAGCCACAUCUAUAACAAGUAAGCCUGCUACCCUCACCACAACCAGUGCAACCAGUAAGUUGAUCCAUCCAGAUGAGGAUAUAUCACUGGAAGAGAGAAGGGCUCAGUUGCCCAAGUACCAGCGCAAUCUUCCUCGGCCAGGCCAGGCUGCCCUGGGUAAUCCACCAGUUGGACCAAUUGGAGGUAUGAUGCCACCACAGCCAGGAAUUCCUCCACAACAGCAAGGAAUGAGACCUCCCAUGCCACCUCAUGGUCAGUAUGGUGCUCAUCACCAGGGCAUGCCAGGAUAUCUUCCUGGGGCCAUGCCUCCAUACGGUCAGGGACCUCCGAUGGUGCCCCCGUACCAAAGUGGACCUCCUCGACCUCCAAUGGGAAUGAGACCCCCCGUAAUGUCGCAAGGUGGCCGCUACUGAUGCUCCUACUCACGCUCUAAUAGGUUUUUAGAAGUGAAGUAUAGUAAAUAUGGUUCGUUAAAUUGUGAAGGCGCUGGAAUUACAUGAACAUACCACCUUAAAGCCCUGCCAUAGGACAGGCUGAGGCAGAGUCUCAGUGUUGCCCUGUUCAGUCUGAGGCAAGUGGGAUUUAUUUUAUUCAUUCUGGGGGCUUUCACAGCUUUAUGGCUGUUGGAUAUUUAUGUCCCCAAACUUGCAGCAAGUUUGGUGAAGGCCCCUAAAUUUAUUUUAAUUUAGGUUUUUUAUUCUCUUUUGGUAGAUGGGCUCUAUAUUAAUAUUUAUCUUUUUAUUAUCGUUGUGGUUUUAAGAGUCUUAGGGGGAGGGAGGCUGUUUGAAGAUGUUUGGGUACCUUUUCUCUUGGAAUGCAUUUCCUUCGAGGCUGCUCAGGGGGUCCUUCAGCCACACUGCCCCUUCCCACCUUUCCCUGCAUUGCAUUUGUGCUGUAUUUGUUUGGGGGUUUGGUAGUGUUGACUUUGUGUAGUCUCUGAAUUAGUGGCAUGUAAAUACCAAGUACUAAUGUUUCCUCUUCUGGGGAGAUGUAACUGUUGAAGUGCUUAAAAUAGGUUUUAACCAGCAGGUGACAUUUAUAGGCACCAAACUGUGUAGCCCAAAUUCUAGAACAGAGUUUCUUUGCAGAAGGUUGAGAUGUUAAUCCUGCUGCAUACGUGAGCUGCACCUCAGCAAAUAUUAAUGUAGAGCCCUGGGAGGAACCUGAGCUUUGAUCCAGGUUGGUAACACAGAAUAGAAGAGUGAGAAAUGGAGGCUGCAGAUUUUUCAGUUCAUGAGUUUCUGGAAGAACCUUUUCCUCAACCUCUCCAAUACACCAAACUCAACAGUACUUUGACUGUUGCAACAAUAGUGAAAGUCACAGCAGUUUUUUUGAAACCUUGUGAAAUUCUGUUGCAUAUUCAAAAUUUGCUUAGUUAUGUUUCUUUGAAGUUCCUUCUCUCACACAGUGACUAGCAAAAAAAUUGUACCCUUUGUGAAGGAAAAGCUGCUCACUCUGGUGCAGAUAACACUGGCCUUGAAUGCUUGAGGUUGCUUAAAGACAACUUCAGCUUCAGAAGAGCAGGUUUUGUCCAAGGAGGUCUUGCAGCCUAUCAGCAAUGAAAUGGAAAAUAAAUGUAGGAGUCUGGUUUUACAAUUUUUUUAAGGUUUUCAAAAUUUAUGCUAGUUUUUUAUGAGCAUACACUCUGUCUCAUUUCUUCAAGAUUUUGCUAAAUAAUGGCCCCCAGUGGGAUUUUCAGUAAUUUGAAUUCAAGGAUAGAGUUGUAAUUCUUAACUUAGAAGAGUGAUUGCACAUUCCUGUUGUACCCUUUGCUUGUACUCUGCCCUUUGCAUUUUUCCUGGAGAAGGCCCCUCCAAGUCACCCAGUCUGGCUGGAAAAUUGUCCUCUGACUGUUCCAAAAUGGUUACUGAGCAUGGCCUUGCUUUUCUAAUUCUCAUUGUGGUGCUCUCCCAAUAACAGUGAAGAUGAGAACAACUCUUCAACUAGGGUUUGUUUCACUUUCUUAGUUUACAGGAGCAUUUGGCUUAUUCUUAUUUCCCUACAAUGUCCAAGGAAACUGUUUAACCCAAAAUAAUAGUGUGGGUUGUACUUCUUACUUUAAGUAUCUGAAUCUCGUGGAGACUCAAAAUGAAAAAUAGGUAAAUUUCAAAUGCUUGAUCCUGAACUUUAUUCCCAGUUUCCAUUUAAGAUGAUGCAGCACUAGGUGAACUUUAUCCAGCUCCUCAUGUUCAGCCUGUCAUCAAGCCCACAAAGCUAAAAUUCAGAUACAUGUGCUGUCUUGUGUCCAGUGAAGUACCCACUUAGAUCCUCACUGGGGUUAUGCCUUAUGAAUUGAUACCCUGGUGAGAGCUGAAAGUUUCCCAGUUCAGGGAGAUUGUUUUUAUCUGCUUUUGUUGAAGAUAUUUUUUUUUCCAUGAACAUGUCAAAUUAGUUCUCCAAAAUGCAGUUCCUGUUUUCACUGUGUCAUUGUUUAACCUCUGUAUACUAAUCCUUCAGAGCAAAUGAACCAUUUCUUUGUGUUUUGGCAUGUUUUGUGAGCAAAAUAUAACAUUUUUUCAGCACCACAUUGCUGUGGGAUUUUUUUCCUUAAAGGUGCUUUUAAGCAAUUCCAGGAAGUUUAAUUUCACACUACCUGCUUUUGAAUGAUGCAUUUGACAUUAAGACAGUUCUGUGGGGCGUCACUGUAUGAAUUAAAGGUUUUCUGACUGGAUUUUCCUGCUCCACUGCAAACACUGCUUGUGGUUUCUGAUGGGUAGUUCACCCCCCUUCACUUCCCCCGGGCAUUCCUGUCCUUUCUGUAAGUCACUCAAGGACUGGAUGGGACAGGUCCUGCUUCUUCCCUCUUUGGGAGCUGGUAGCACUGGCAGAUGGCAUUGGAAUUAUUCUGAUGUUGCCACAGACUGAUGUUUGUCCUUAAAUUGGCAGCUAUAAUGAUUUUCCUUUGCUUUGUGUUUUGUCCUUAAGUGACAUGUGCAAGUGCUGCUGUCCUUGUAGUCCCCAGGAUGGCAUAAAGUGCUUUUUGCUGGGAGUAUCUCCUCAGCUAUUAGACCAGCUGGCCUCUCAUCUCUUUGAAACGACUUGUAAAAGUCUCAUCUGGUGUAAAUGGUUCAUGUCUUGCUCUUUUUGUGAUGUUUCCUUAGUGAUAUUUUCCUCCCUGCCUCCUCCUGUGGGUCUAAGGGGGAUAGUUAAAAUAAUUUGUAGUCUUUAUUUUGAGGGAUGAAGUGUGUUCCUCCUUGCAUUCCAGUAUUGCAGCAGCUUGUGUAUCACGAAGUUGUACAUCUCACUGUUUGUGAAUUUUCUAAUUAUGGCAAUAUUUUAGUGACUUUUAUAGAUAUUAACAGAGGUAGGUCUCGGAGUUCAGGGGUUUUUUAAGCUUAAGUAGAAGUACGUGACUUUUACUCAAGGGGGAGGAGUCACUGAUACUCUGCUAAAUUGGGUAAAUUUGCACCCACUGUUUUAAACAAGAGAAGUGAAUGGGAGAUGUGGUAAAUAAAGUACACACCACACAUGAGGGACUCCAAAAAAAAAUCUGUGCUUGCCAUCAAAAUACUCAGAGCAGUGAAACAGUGCCUGGGUUCUGUAGGAAUGCAGUGCUGGUGACUCCCACAUUGUCUGCAGGAGCUGGGCUGGGGAGGUUGUUCAGAGUAAGGGAAGUUUUGGGGCAACUGUUGAAGGGAUCCAGAUGAAUUCAGGUGAUUCUCCAGUGUAAUGUGAUAACAUUCUUUUGGAGGUCCUGAGGAACACGGGCUGUUUCCUUUCACACUGUGAGCAGCAGCUCUGGGCAGCCGUGGUUGGCAGAGCCCAGAUUCCUGGGAAGGCUGGGCUGGAGGAAAUGCAGCUUUACUUUAGUCUUGUGCCCUGAGGGAGCUGGGCACUGGAGCCUCAGCCAUGUCCUGUCCUGACUGCAGGAUCCAGGGGGUUAUCCUUGGGAUUUGUUCUGGGCAUCCUGAGGAGGCAGUUCUGACUGACCCUGGUGUGAAUAGCUGGAGGGUUGGUAUUUAUAUACCUGGUCCCUGCUGUGAGUAGUGAGACACUGGCACCUUCUGAACAAGCUUUCAGGAACCUCUGACAUUCUUAGGGGCUUGCUUGGAAUGGGGACAGUCAGCAACACUGCUGUUUUAGUGGCAGGGAAUUUAACUUCUUCAGAAAUACAGUCUUGAACUUAAGGUUUUUUAAGAAAACAGAAUUUUAAUGCCAAUAUCAUUUUAACUGAAAGCAAAAAAGCACAAACUUUGAGAGCUUGAAAGCUUCCUUAAAAAUUCUCUUGUUGGCAGCUAAACAAGGUCUAACUGCCUCAGAAGAGAUUCAAGCUUCUGAUAUCUCAAUUUUUUUCCUUAAAUUUUGUCUAAAUCUUUACCAUGUUCCCAGGUGCUAUUCAGAAGGGGGUGGGGGUGCUGUGUAGAAUUUCAGCUGCUGCUGCCCUGAGUAACCAAUAUGAGUAGCUGUAUUUUGGUGACAGUAAUUUUGAAUUACCAGAAAUUAGUGCAAUGCAACCAGGGGAAGCUAUUUCACUGUCUCCCAACUUAAAAAAAUUCCAUAAAGCUUUGAGUUCAGGGUAUCAUGCAGAGCUUUUUUCCUUUCUCUUUUUUCAUUGAGUUACUUGCACUGAAUUCUUUAGUUUCUUUCUCGUAAAUCUAAGUGGAAGAAAAUACAUUUUGCUCAGAAUAAGAAAACACACUUUAUGAGACUUAAAUGAAGGAACCUGGCACUGUAAGUAUUGUAAUUUCCUUUAUGUUUGUGGUAGGCAAUAGGAUGACCUUGUUAAAUAUAUGGGUUAUGUAUGAAAAAAUAUCAGAAGAAUAAGGGCAAAUUGAAAAUAAUUUUAUAGUUGCCUUUACUUCAUAUGCUUUUCUUAAGCAACAAAUUGCAAUAAUUGAAGUUUGGCAGCUUUUUUUUUUUUUUAAAUAAAAAACUAAAUUAUGGGUUAAACACCUUGGUUUAAUACAAUUUGUGUUUCUGUUAACUAGCAGCAGAAUUUCAGCAUUUGCUACUUACUGGUAGAGAAGAAAAAUUCCACAGCACUGCCAGUACAGGUUAGUUUAAUCUGUAAGUACCUGAUGUUCCUAUUUGAAUUAAUUUGUUCAAAUGAUACCACUUAAAUACAUGAGGGGAAUUUUGGUCUCUGAACUGUGAUUGUUAUCUACUACUGAUUUCAGUAGUGAGUGAACAUCUAGAUUUUUUUUUUGGAAGAUCUGUAAUGGAUUUAACUGUGCUUGUGGGCAGGUAAUAAAUACCUGCAAGCACCUUUAAGGAAAAUUUAAUACAGAACCUUAACAAAUACCCUUUGUUACUAGAAAGUGUGAAGAUCUAAAGUUGAAAUCACUUCAGUAACAUGCCUUUAUUGAUGAGGCUGUUUUUUACCAGCAAACCAACAGGAUCCUGUGUUUGUUGUGUUGGGGAUUAAGCAUUUCUGUUUGUAAACUCCAUAGCAGUAAUGUAAUCCUUGGAUUUUCUUUAGCUAUUACUAAUUACCAUUUCCUACCAACAGAUUUUUACUUUGCUAGGCCUGUGAGCCAGGAGCUUGUUCUUCUCUGCUUUUUUUAAUCAUUAUUUUUGUUAGUCCAUUGCAGCACUUCAGAGGCUACCUACAAAUGUGGUUUUGUCCA
This is an RNA transcript of Neopelma chrysocephalum (saffron-crested tyrant-manakin), 6771 nucleotides long. It is a transcript of the gene named zinc finger protein 207, with no coding region annotated. The transcript is spliced from 13 exons. The record is from RefSeq and is a predicted model, not a curated record. NCBI's taxonomy places the organism in Eukaryota, Metazoa, Chordata, Aves, Passeriformes, Pipridae.